AGAGUUUGAUCAUGGCUCAGAUUGAACGCUGGCGGCAGGCCUAACACAUGCAAGUCGAGCGGUAGCACAGAGAGCUUGCUCUCGGGUGACGAGCGGCGGACGGGUGAGUAAUGUCUGGGAAACUGCCCGAUGGAGGGGGAUAACUACUGGAAACGGUAGCUAAUACCGCAUAAUGUCGCAAGACCAAAGAGGGGGACCUUCGGGCCUCUUGCCAUCGGAUGUGCCCAGAUGGGAUUAGCUAGUUGGUGAGGUAACGGCUCACCAAGGCGACGAUCCCUAGCUGGUCUGAGAGGAUGACCAGCCACACUGGAACUGAGACACGGUCCAGACUCCUACGGGAGGCAGCAGUGGGGAAUAUUGGACAAUGGGCGAAAGCCUGAUCCAGCCAUGCCGCGUGUGUGAAGAAGGUCUUCGGAUUGUAAAGCACUUUAAGUUGGGAGGAAGGGGUUAAGGUUAAUAACCUUAGCCAUUGACGUUACCCGCAGAAGAAGCACCGGCUAACUCCGUGCCAGCAGCCGCGGUAAUUC
Molecule: ribosomal RNA, 527 nt
Filed under: uncultured bacterium
Lineage: Bacteria
Description: bacterial SSU rRNA
Rfam family: Bacterial small subunit ribosomal RNA
Source: RNAcentral